Molecule: long non-coding RNA, 638 nt
Organism: Cyprinus carpio (common carp)
Lineage: Eukaryota; Metazoa; Chordata; Actinopteri; Cypriniformes; Cyprinidae
Source: Ensembl
AUGUUUUUCUUGAUUGCUGUGGUUGCAAGUGGUGGAGGAAUUGUACUGACUGGACUCAUAAGCAUCUGUUUGUACAGAUGUACACGGAAGUCAAAGGCAGAGAGGAUUUGGAGCGAAUUCAUCAGCCAAAAACAGGGACUUUCUUUAGCAACAGCCAGUUCAGACACAGUAAGUAAUAUAAUUUUACAUUUGUUAGAGCAGCUAAUUGAUCAUUUUAAUAUUUCCCGCUGUUUAAUAUAUCAUUCUUUGUUAUUUAGACUGGAGAGGAAGUUGCAGCAAUUUAUUCAACCAUCAACGACAUGCAACCCCCUUCACAACCACCAGGUAUAUUUGAUAAAACUAUAUCUUCAACUUAGUCUGAACUCUAUCAUGGUCAUUAUUUGAUAUCUGAUGUGUCAUGUUAUGCAGGAAAGAGUGAAGAAUCAAUGACAACUGAGGUGAGUAAGGCAGUUGGUUACACAUUACACAAUAUUUAUGUUUAUGUCAUUUUAAGAUUUCAUUUUCCUCUAGGUUGAACUGAAUCAUUUGUAUUCCACCAUCCUCACCAAACCGGCCAUCUCCAGUGACAGCAGGGGUGUUUACAGUCAGCCAAAGGUCCGCUGAAAGAAUAAAACUCUGCCUGCUACUGUUUUAAUGCA